Molecule: long non-coding RNA, 5107 nt
Organism: Anas platyrhynchos (mallard)
Lineage: Eukaryota; Metazoa; Chordata; Aves; Anseriformes; Anatidae
Source: RefSeq, a predicted model, not a curated record
CACCUGAGGUCGAGCUGCAAACAGGUCUUUUGUUUCACAGGUAACACUUCCCACAAGGAUGUGAGUAGCAAGUCCCUUCACUUCUGUGACCUGUAGGAGAGAAGAACAGGAUAUUUAGGACUAUACAAGGUGUUGUAACCCUUAAUUACAAGGACUAUUUUCAUGCCAGUGAUUAUAGAGGGAAAUGGAAUCCAAAAAAGAUCCCCCCCAUGAUCACUUCUUUAGGACAUUUAAUGUUACAGGAAUAACAGCACUAGUGAUGCCUAGUGAUUCAAAGCAAUGGGCUUCAGGUCUAUUUGGAAAUAAAAGUUUCUGUUACGCAGAUGAAGGGUGUUUUGCAAUUAAACCAAUAUGCCAGAGCUGUUUAGCUGAAUCUGGCCCUAAAAACAGCAGCUGAGCUAUGCCUGCUUGCACCGAAGCUGAAUGUAACCCCGCGCACUUCUGUUGCUCUCUAAUCCCUGUGUUGGCAACACCCGGUUGUGGCCCUUGCAGUGUAACCUGGUCACUGUCCCAGUCCUUUCCAGCCAGGAUGUGUGCCAGCAGCAGCUCCGCGCCAAAGUGGCUCCUAGCAUGUCAUUAAUCUCUCAAGAAACGUGAACUACGUUAAGGAAAAAAAGACUGUGGGAGGUGGGUAUUGGACCCCUUCCAGCUCUUCCUUCAGAUCGAGGAAGGAUGCCACAGUUUGUGUGCUGCGAUUAGAUCCUUCUUAAUUUACUGCCUGUUUAAUAAAAUGGGUGGUGAUCAGAGCAAGUAAUACUGGAUGGGAUGCAGCAGGUAUCUGCUUGUUCCAGCCAACCUGCCACCCUGGCAUCUGCAGGGUAGGAGGGAGCAUAUAUAGCUGCAACGUAUGUAGCUUAGGGGCAGAUUUACUGCUUAACGUGUAGUGGUUCCUGGGUAUAAACCUGGCCUUUUGGAUCAUAAUUAUUAUUUCAAGGAGCUCUUUGGGCUCAUGUCAUCCAUCUUUAUAUCAGGCAUUCACCUGAGGAUAAAUUAAGAAAGAAUAAUCCUGCUUCACCAAUUUUGCUGUUAACCCCUUUAUCUCAUUGAAGCCAGUGGCAAAGUUUCUGUGGCCUCCAACAGUGCAAGAGCAAAACAGUUGAACUAAUGAAGAUGUACCUCUGUGUACUCCUUGUAACUCCUGUUGAUUUCAGUUAAACUCUCUCGAGCUGCUUUGCUGGCAGGAGACAUUGCAAAGGCUUGCUUCAUUUUGCUUGCACCAUCACAGAGACGUCUUUGGAUACAAUAGGCUUCAUAAAGCUCAUCCACCUGGAGAGAAAAACAAAGAUGUAUUUGGAAAAAAAAAAAAAAGCAAAACAAAAAAAUCAACAUCUGAGAACUCAACAAAAUAAAGGCAGCAAACUGAAGUAGUGUGUGAUGCAAGGAAACGAAGCCAAACAAGUGGUAAACCAUUAGAUCCAGGGCAGGCAAAUGAAUCUGUGAUACUCUUACAGUUGACACCAUGAGAUAAAAAUAACUUCUGCUGCAAAAAUCUCAUUACAGCAACAGUAGAUGCUGUCAGCAAUUCACCUGCUUGCCCUGUGCAUGCCUUUUAGCUAUUGCUGCUGCCUUCUUCCCCCCAGUCUGGGACACGUGCAAUUGCUGCCUUAUGGCAGGAAUGCAGCAAGCUUCUGAAAUGUAUUGGUGUGGAAGAGCUCUUUCAGAGGCACGUGCAACGUCCAGACUGCUAAAUGGGAGCAGACACAUUAAAAGGCACGUUUAUCAGGGCCAGCAAUGCCUUCAGGAUUGCUAACACCAGCCGUGGGUUGAGACUAAUCCUCCAGAACUAGGAGAUGUAGCCAGAAUCAGGAAAAGCUUAGGAACAGCUGAUGUCAAAUUAAGAAAAUAUUUUGAGCUUCAGCCUCACAGCCACUCACAUAACUUUUUAGUGAUCUCCUUCAGUCCUUGGCAUGAUGUAGACUCCAAACAUUUAGUAAGCAGCUCUGGAGGUUCUGCAAAACUUGGUUACAUGCAAUUUAUAGUCUCAUCCGGAUCUAGCUUCAGAGUGUGAUGGAUUUAUGUGUCUCAUGCUUUGGUUUUCCUUUUUCCUCUAAUCCCUGCGCUGAAGGUACAUGUUUACUCCAUCCAAACUGUUCAGUGAGAGUCUACGAUGGGAUAACUUCAUCUAUAUGAAGUUAAGCUGCUAGAUACAGGAGACAUAGGCUUUCUAAUCUGACUUUAUCAGGGUGAGGAGGGAGAAAAGAAUAGAGAAAGAUACAUCUUCUAGCAACCCUUCUAAGAUAGGAUGGUAUCUGUUUUUUACUUAGAAUAACUGUUUCCCUUCAUUCUCUCUGACACCAAGUGACUGCCCCAUGCACCCUGGUCCUCACUAGUGGAUUUUCACAGCAGAAUUUCUCUCAGUGAAAACCUUCCAGUGCCUUGGCUUCCUGUCUAUAACUGUUUUUCUGCAUUAGGAAUAAUCCCGAUAUGACCAUCCAGGUGUGCUGUGAUUCCCACUUUUCCGAGCCUGCUUAACCUCCAACAGAAAGUGUCACCUCCUAUUUGGAGCAGGACUGCUCUUCCUGACAGCUUCAAAGCAUGACACUGAUUUUUACAAGGUGAACUUGGACUCCUGAUGGCUGAAGCGCCUAAUGAGGGAUCUCCAGCUGACAUGGGAGCUGCUUUGCAGGUGAAGCAGUGCAUCAAAGAGUAAUAGAAGCUUUGGCAGCAUUUUGCCAUUUCAAAGUUACAGGGAAAAGCUUCUUGGAGCCAUAUCCACCACUAUUUCCCUUGCAAGUCCACACCAUUCCCCAUGCUAAAGACAGCUCCUGUAAAUAGUCGUCCCUUGGUAUUUACUCCUGCUGUUAGUGUGGAGCAUUGACCCAGUGCUGGCGUCCUGUGUGGUGGGGACAGACUUAUCCACUCUGACAGACGAGCUCUCUGCUCCUCACAUCUCAUUUUAGGACAGCGGGUGCCCUCGUUCAGCACUGGCACAGCUUCCUGCCAAAAGAGCCCUCCUCUGGGGCUUGCUCGAAAACACCAGUGUGCCACCACCUGAGCAAGACUGUGAAUUUUAAGGCCAUGCACCUCUGCUCUUCCUGCCUCUGUUGCUGUGGGUUACAGAAAGUGAACUAAUGUGCUCGGCUGACCAGCGUUACCUCUCGCGUUUGGUGCUUUUCGUUCCUAUUAUAAGCACAGAAACCAUUAGCUCUGAGCAGCUGGAGUGGGAAGGACGUGAAUGGAAAUGUUCUUCAAGCAGUAAUUUUGCCAUUCAUGUUGCCAGCAAGAGAGAAGGUGGUUUGGGGAACAAAUUUUCAGCCUAUUGCCUGGUGACUUUUUCAGCUCUGAGAGUAAGAGAACAUGAAAUUAAAAGGUUUGGAUGGGCUGUCAUAAUUGGAGCACUUCAAGCUGCAUGAACGCUUUUCAAACAACUCUCAAAAGACAUUUCAUCCGUCAGAAAUAAUUCAUUCUUUUGUCAGGCUCAGGAAAGUAACUAAUAGCUAGCAGAUAUGUUUAUAACCGAGAGAAUACAUGCUGUGGAUUUUGUCCAGCUCGAAAAUGUAUUGGUAUAAAUCAUGAGUACCUCUACUGGGUAUGAUAGACUCGUUCUCACCGAUGUAAUCAAGCAGAUGUGGGCCCACCAAGCCACGCAGAAGCAGCAUUAGCAGUGAAAACUGGGAAUAACUCCAGUCUAGCCAUGGUGCACGGUGGGAACAACUGCUGAACUAGAUUGUUUUCAGCUGUAACGCCAUUUCUACCUAUAGUUUGAAAAUAAGCAUGCUGUGAGAGAGACUUUCCCCAGCAGCUGUCUUAUCCCAUGUUCUCUGUAUGGCUGAAAACACAUGGGAGCAUCACGGGGCAUGGAGAACAGCUGGACAUCAGAAGCUGCAAACCCUUUCUUUGUCUCUGACCCCCAAGUGACUACAGCAAAAAUACUGAAUGUGGGAGAGGCUUUGUCAGCACUGGAGUGGAGGGGCACCUUUUUGGCCAAGGGUUUGUUUUCCUCAUAACGUAAGAGCUGGUGCAGAAGACAGAUGCUAAGGAUGCUUGUUACCUUGCUGAUGUGGAACUCCAGCCUCCUCAUGUAUCGCUCCACUGCUUUGAUUUGCUGGAGGAAACAGAGAAGCAGAGGGUGAGGCACAACUGAAUGCAGCAGCAGGACAUCUCUACUAGCUCUGCUCAUGUCUUUGGGUCCCCAGGAGCCUGAGAAACUCCUUAAAACGUGCAGGGUUUCAUUGCCCACAAAUCCAGAAUCGACUACAACACCUUACUAUGAUUAAUCUGCUGAUGAAAAAAUUGAUCUCAUUGGCAUCUAUAUAAAAAAAACUUUAUUAAACAAACAAACAAAAGCUUUCUGUUGGGUCUGCAUAGGUUUUCCUUGAUGAAAAUUUCCUAGUUUGUUGUUGUUGUUAAGGAAUGUGAGACUUUUUGGCUUGGAAAACUGUAUUUUUUCAGUACUUUGAAAACCUGUAUUAAAACUGAUGAGGUUUUGCAUUUCAAAAUGCAUUCUUUUCCUGAAUAAGCUGUUUUUGAAAACAAAAACAAGCUUGGUAUUUUGACUGAAAAAAGAUAGAUUGCUCAGGAAACUUUUUUUUGAAAUCCUUUCUUUUGUUUUACUCAGAAUUUCCCAGGGGGAAGAAUAUUUUUAAUUUUUCAACUUGUUAUUCCCCAGCAUUGGCAGGAGCAGGGAUGGGAGAGGACUGUGCAGGCCAGAUCCGUCCUAAGGGGCAGCUACCAGCAAGCCCACCUCUAACUGAGUACUCCUGUGAAGCAUUUCUCCUGCUCUUUGUGAAUGCCCAGAUCGUGAAGCUUUGAUGGUGUUGGCCUGAUAGAUUUGGCUGAGAGAGUUCUCCCAUGCCAGCUCCAUACAUCAUACAACCAUUAACCCUUCUUGCAACAAGUGUCCAAGAGAGUAACGUACCUUAUCUAAAUCAUACAGGACUCCCUGCAACAGAGAAGAAGAAAUUGUGAUUUAUUUUGCAGCAUAAGAGCAACAGAGAAACAUGAGAAAGCAAUAUUUAUAAGUGAAUAGAAAUAGAAAAUCAAGAUCUGGAAGGGACAAACAGCACACAUGCAAAUUCCCGACUUCCCGCUCCCAGCCUGUGACUGCUCCAGUACCUCUGGAAGAUUGUAGUGCAUCUACCCAAUAAAAAGCGUGACACGUACCAGG